Molecule: long non-coding RNA, 1542 nt
Organism: Manis pentadactyla (Chinese pangolin)
Lineage: Eukaryota; Metazoa; Chordata; Mammalia; Pholidota; Manidae
Exons: 3
Source: RefSeq, a predicted model, not a curated record
AGGCGUAGCCACGGUCUUCCGGGUUGUUGCACUUUGGGGUUCCCUGAUGGGCGCUACUAGUUGCGGAAGCUAAAUCGGUGGAGGGUAGAUUGCCCAUCACGGUUUAGUGGCCGCUCUCUAGGUUUGCGGAGCACAACAUCUGCGUUUCAAAAAUACUUUCAAAGUGAUUAUGAUCUGCCUCACCGCUGCACCAAUAAGGGGCCCCAGUGACCCCUAGUGCGCGGUCGGAACCUCUGGCAGCUCCAAAGCAACUGCUUCCGUCGCAGCCAAGCCACGUCUUUAGAGGGCCUGAUUACUGUGUGGGCGCGCGGCUUUUCCUGAGAAAUUGGGUUAGGGAUUAAAGGGACGAACCGCAUCCGGUUUUCUGUCCCCUGUUUACGUCCGACCUCCGCUGUACCCAACACCGCCCACCCGCCCGGGUGAGGCAACCGCUGGCCGCCUGGAGCUGCAUCUGGCGCUGUGCUGCGUCGACUCCGCCCACCCGUAGUAGGCUGGUCAGAAAUAGUCACCUCAAUGAAAAGGGCCCUCAAUAAUAAUUUUUUUUUCAAUGAAUUUCGAUUCUCAAGUUGAAUGACUUUUCAUGUUAAGCACACCCAGAGAAAAGUCUCAGAAAGCUAUUCAAGAUGAAAUCCGCUCAGUAAUCAGACAGAUCACAGCUACAGUGACAUUUCUGCCACUGUUGGAAGUUUCUUGUUCAUUUGAUCUACUGAUUUAUGCAGACAAAGAUUUGGUUGUACCUGAAAAAUGGGAAGAGUCGGGACCACAGUUCAUUACCAAUUCUGAAGAAGUCCGUCUUCGUUCGUUUACUACUACAAUCCACAAAGUAAAUAGUAUGGUGGCCUACAAAAUUCCUGUCAAUGACUGUGGUUGAGAUAAGGACAAUAAUAUACUUCGUAAUUCUCAAAUGUGGUUUUCCUGAGACCAAGUCAACGACAGUUGGUAUGUUUUCACUGGUUGAUUUUCAGAUGGGGAAAACUUAACAUACUUCACUGAGCUGUGCAUAAUUGUUCCAGUGUUUUGAUCUGUUUGACUUUACCUAGGGUUGACAUUAGUUACUGCACACGGUUCACAAGGGAACCAACAGAUAACUACAUCAGCAUUGUUAUGUCAAUGCCUUUGAAGGUAAUAACUGUACAUGGAAAAAUUUGCUAUAAAACUAAGUACCUUCCUAAAUCGGCCUCUUGGUCAAGUAGCUUGAUGCAGUAUAUACUUAGGGAGGUAUUUAAAAUAAAAUAUAGCAAAAGCAGUCUGAAUAUUCAGAAUCUUUGUUAGGUUCCUGAAAGUGUCUAAUGAUAAUCCGUAAGUAAUGAAAUAAUGCUGUUAGGCCCUUUGCCUUUAUUUCAUUUGUAUUUGUAUAGUUUCCAUAUUGAAGAAGUUCUCAGUUAUUUGAUUUCCAUUUAUGUAACUUGAACCUAUGAAGCUAUGGUUAUUUCUACUGUCUAAAUUCUUGUGAUACAAAACUUUUAAAAGUGUCUUUUAUGUUUUAUAAAAUCAAGCUUUAAAUGGCAAUGAUGAAAUAAAGUUAAAAUGCUUAUGUUUCAA